RNAcentral lists this unclassified non-coding RNA (485 nucleotides) under Andesanthus gleasonianus. RNAcentral describes it as "Tibouchina gleasoniana partial may contain 26S ribosomal RNA, external transcribed spacer, 18S ribosomal RNA". The record is from RNAcentral. Lineage: Eukaryota; Viridiplantae; Streptophyta; Magnoliopsida; Myrtales; Melastomataceae.
UUCGGCGGUGGCGUCGGGUUGUCGGUCAAUACCCGGGCAGCGUUGGGACGACGCAUGAGUGGCAAUCAGGAUAGGUUUCCUUUGCAGGCUCCGUGCUUCUCGCAUCGAACUGCUUUGGUCUGUCCGUCUCAUUUGAUCGCUCGCCUCGAUGCCCCGAGGGUCGGUCGCGAGUGAAGGGUGGGUUCCUGUUCUUGAUACCGGAUUUCGGUACUCGGAUUCAAUGUUGUCCACGUCUUGGUUCCCUUGUUCCUCCUCCGCCUCCCGUGCGUUGGUGGUUAUCGUGCGGGCAUCGACGCUUUCCGUCCGGGCGGUCGUCCUCCUCUGGGGCGUUUCCGCCCGUGUCGGCGCGUCGAUGCCGUCCGCUUGCUCUUGGGUACGGAGAUAUCUCUUCUUAUCGCGCGGUCCUCUGUUGGCCGUUGCGAUCUCGGCUUGUCUAAGCUUCUUUGCUUCCGCUCGGUUGACCCUCGUGCUUUCCUUGGAGCUCA